Long non-coding RNA from Brassica napus (rape), 3360 nucleotides. RefSeq lists it as uncharacterized. The record is from RefSeq and is a predicted model, not a curated record. NCBI's taxonomy places the organism in Eukaryota, Viridiplantae, Streptophyta, Magnoliopsida, Brassicales, Brassicaceae. The transcript has 3 exons.
UGGAUUGCCAUUAACCAUCAGGGAGGUUUACAUCCAACCAGACUAUCCGGUCCGUCUACACCCGUCUCCGGUCCGUCUACAUCCGCCCGAGACUAGUCAAGAUGAAGACUCAUUCAACCGGAGCAUUUAUGAGCUUUGACCAAGACUAUAUCUUUGUGGUCAAUAUGUAAUAAAUGUGUAGAUACUCUCCUUGUUGUAAACCCUUAUGAACCUCCACUAUAUAUUGAUAGUGAGAGCUAAUGAGAAAUACACAACUUUCAAAGCAACACUUCUCUCAUAUUUCUAACAUUAUUCAUUGUCCCCUUAGGAUAGUAUUAGGGAUUCUUGCCCACUUAGAAAUAAUAUUAAGAGUUUUCAAGUAUUCUCGCCGGCGUCUCUUCGUUCGUUACCUCCACCUCUCUCUUUGGUACAACCUACAACUCUUCAAAGAUCUCUUUGAAGAUGGUGGAAUUGAAAGUUUUCUCUAGAAACAAGAGGGAAAAAUCUAAGGAAACACAAUGCAACAACCGUCCAGCCGAAAUCAAUGCUACAUUUGGAGAUACGUUCAUGACUUGUAGCAGUAGAACCAAGCCAAUUAUUUGUUUCUCAUCACAGCCGACAUUAAACCGACUUAAUAUUGUAGCAGACCAUGCCGUUGUGCUGAUUUUGUUUGCUCUCAUUAGGUCUUGAUGUCAUCAUUGACCUAUCUUUUAUGUGACUGGUUUCUAUUGUUUACAAGUAUGGAAACAUGUUUUGUUGCUCUGCUCUUGCUGUCGAGACGUGUUUCGUUUGGGUACUUUACGGUUUGUUAUAGUUGAGACAACAUUUAUGUACUUGGAAAAAAGGAAAUUAAACUCAGUUUUAUAUUUAUGGAUUUGGAGAAAAAAGAAAACUCAGUUUGAAAAGUCAUGAGGUGAGCAAUCUGUUGGGACCUUGUCAUCAAACUCAUCAGUGGAGUCAAGAACUAUUCGCCUUGUUGGACUUUUUCUUCCCUUUGUUGGCAUACGAUAGUUAAACGCAUAUUCCUUCUCUUUAGCUUCUGAAGCUUUUUAUCAUUACCUUCAUUAUCAUUGACAAUAGAAAGUGAAAUAAGAAAGUGAAGAAAAACGUUGGUGAAGAAGAAGUUUGUAAAUUUAUGGCAAAAAAAUAAAAAAAGGAAAUAAACAAGAUUUAAAAGAUUUUAGGAAUAUUUUUUAACUGUUUUUAGCUAGAUUUUCUGAUUUUGUUUACAAAUCUAGUAGAACUUACAUUCUACCAAAGUUAGAAAAGAGAUGAAGUGGUAGAUGUGAAAAACUGAGAUCGUAGAGAAAGGAAAAAUGUGAAGAAAGUAUGUUCUGCCGAGGCAGAUAUGAUAACUUUUAUUAUGCCUUAUAAUCUACCAAAUAUACAGAACAUAGAAGAAAAUGUAGAUUUGUUAUUCUGUCUUAGUAGGUCGAAAUGUUUUGGUGUAUUGUGCAUUCUACCUUGGGUAGAUCAUUGUGUCUUAGGUAGACUGUAUACUCUAAGUCGUCGUAGAUGGUAGAUUUGAUAUACUAACACCUUUAGCCUAUUUUUAAAUUUACUAUUCCAAAUAUUUUUUGAAUCCAAAAAUAUUUUUUAUAUAUGCACAUUCUUGACUACUUUAUGUUUUAUAUUUUUCUUAAUUUUUUUGCAUUGUAAAUAUAUUGAUAUGAAUUUUUAUUUAUAAGAAGGGUAAUGAAAGUACAAAAGUGACAAAAUUUGAUUUUGUACUAAGGUGACAAUAGUUUAGUUUACUUGUUCCGUUUUCCCAAAAUUCCUAUAAAUAAAAGGUUGGACCACCAUAAAAAUUUAUACUAUUUUAAGGAAUAAGUAAAAGGUGUAUCAGGUAAGCGCAGUCAGAGAGCUAUGGAAAGUAGAGAACUUUACUGAAUAUUUCUGAAGUUUAUUAUUCUCCAACUUGAAGAUACAAGAGUGACUCUAGGUUUAUUUAUACAAAGGUUUGACAGGUGUCUCUGACAACUCAGUCAUCCUUAUCCUUCAGAGUGUCGUAUCUGUUGCUGAGCUGCAUCUUGGGAGGCGAGGGUUCCCUACCUUUGGCUGCUUUGCCUUUCUCCUUGACUGAAGUUGUGACCGUUGAAGAUGUUUGUUUUGUAGCCGAAGAUGCAAUGGGCUUUAUCUGAGUGAAGCCCAUCGUCUUAACAUCUUCUGGUCCACUGGGCUUAAUAUCAAGGACAGGUUUGUACCAGUGAGUCGUGACUGACUUAUAGCAUGAUUAAUGGGAGAUUCUUGGGGUGAAGUUUUAAGCGGAAUAUAAGAACCCGUCUCUUAACUUUUAAUUAAAAAAGCUAAGUACCGGCUCUUAAAUGUUUUACUUAAGAACCGGUUCUUAGUUUUUUUUAGUUAGAGCACCAUUAACCCUAAGAGGUUAAUUUGGGUUCUUAAUGAUUUUUUAGUAAUUAAUAAUAGUUAAGAGAUUGUACUUAAGAGACACUUAAUUUGUUAGGUCCAAUGGGAGUUCUUAUUUUUGGAUUCUUAAGAAAAAAAAAUAUUAAACUAAAAUAUUUUUAAAGAUAAAAUUAAUUUAUUAAAUAUAAAAUAUUAAAAUAAAACAUUUUAAACAUUAAUUAUUAAAAAGAACAUUAAAACUAAGAUUAGUAAAAUAAACGAGAAUAACUUGAAAGAAACAUGCGAGCUUAGUUGUUGUCCUGACCACGCCCGAAUUUACGCCAUACAUGUUCAACCAAAUCAGCUUUGAGUUGUUCAUGCAUGUAUUUAUCACGAAUUCUAGUUCGAACACCCAUCAUAUUGCCGAUAUUUGUAGGGAUAUCAGUAGAGAAUGUGAGAUCGACAUGUGAAAUUCCGAUGUCUUCUCCUUGUUGGAACUCUGAAACAUCAUAUUGAGUGUAUCCAUCUCGUUCGUCUUCUAAAAUCAUGUUAUGGAUUAUGAUACAUGCUCUAAUUAUCUUCCCAAUUUUGCCUUUAUCCCAAAAAAGUGCUGGAUUUUUAACAAUGGCAAAGCGAGCUUGCAAGACUCCAAAAGCACGCUCGACAUCUUUUCGGACAGCUUCUUGGUGUUGAGCAAAUAAAACCGCUUUCGGCCCUUGCGAUAUUGAAAUUGACUAGACAAAAGUUGCCUAUUUUGGAUAAAUACCGUCGGUGAGAUAGUAAGCCAUAUGAUACUCUCUUCCAUUGACAGAGAAGGUGACUUUCGGAGCAUGACCUUUUAUAAUGUCAUCAAAAACAGGUGAGCAAUCAAGAACAUUGAUAUCAUUUAAAUUACCUGGAGGUCCAAAAAAUGCAUGCCAUAUCCAUAGAUCAUACGAUGCAACUGCUUCUAAAACGAUUGUGGGUUUUCCCGAACCACAUGUAUAUUGACCUUUCCAAGAGGUGGGACAAUUCUUCCACUCCCAACGCAUACAA